UGAUAACCAGUAGGAUACUGGAGUGGAUUUUGACACGCUUCACCCCUUCAUCUAAACCCGUUGAGAAUAGAGUAACAUCAACCGCAAUUCGGAUAAGACAGAGAGAGCAAAAGCUUAGCAAUGGCAGCUCUUCAUUAUUACUCUUCAGCUCUCCACUCUCUAUUCACAUCUCACUAUUACCGUACACAGUUUCGUCCUCCUCAUCGCCUGCUCCCCAAAGCCUCCUUCUCCUCCUCCUCCUCUCAAGACCAAUCUUCUUUAAUUACCCGUAGGCAGUUGAUAUCCGAGUCAGCAAUCGCCAUUUCUGUCUCGCCUUUUGUCGGAGGAGGAAAAUAUGGAAGUGCAUUAGCUGCCGAAGAACCACUGUCUGAAUGGGAAAGAGUUUUCCUGCCAAUUGACCCUGGUGUCGUCCUUCUUGACAUUGCCUUUGUCCCAGAUGAUCCAAAACACGGUUUUUUAUUGGGGACUAGACAAACUAUUUUGGAGACAAAAGAUGGAGGAAAUACAUGGGUACCACGUUCAAUACCCUCUGCAGAAGAAGAAGAUUUCAAUUACAGAUUUAACUCCAUCAGCUUCAAAGGCAAGGAGGGUUGGAUUAUUGGAAAACCAGCUAUUUUGUUGUACACUUCUGAUGCUGGAGAAACAUGGCAACGCAUACCGCUAAGUUCUCAACUUCCUGGUGACAUGGUGUAUAUAAAGGCCACGGGAGAAAAGAGUGCAGAAAUGGUAACUGAUGAAGGAGCAAUAUAUAUUACAUCAAACAAUGGAUACAACUGGAAAGCUGCUGUGCAGGAAACCGUUUCAGCUACUUUAAACAGAACAGUUUCUAGUGGUAUUAGUGGCGCGAGCUAUUACACAGGAACUUUUAAUACUGUGAAUCGCUCACCUGAAGGAAAUUAUGUUGCUGUUUCAAGCCGUGGUAACUUCUAUUUGACAUGGGAACCAGGGCAGGCAUACUGGCAGCCACAUAACAGGGCUGUUGCAAGACGAAUCCAGAACAUGGGCUGGCGAGCUGAUGGUGGUCUCUGGCUUCUUGUACGUGGUGGAGGGCUUUAUCUCAGCAAGGGCACUGGGAUAACAGAAGAAUUUGAAGAAAUACCGGUGCAAAGUCGUGGUUUUGGCAUUCUUGAUGUUGGGUACCGUUCUCAGGAGGAGGCUUGGGCUGCUGGUGGCAGCGGAAUUCUUCUAAAAACCAAGAAUAGUGGGAAGACAUGGAUUCGUGACAAAGCAGCUGAUAACAUUGCUGCCAAUCUGUAUUCUGUAAAGUUUAUCAAUGACAAACAAGGGUUUGUGCUAGGGAAUGAUGGUGUCUUACUAAAAUAUCUAGGGUGAAUCAACAGCAUGAUAUGUGUGUGUAGCAUUGGUGUGGGAGAUCGACUGUCGGAUCAUUGGCAUCUCCAUCUGCAUGUGCUACGAUCGAGGGCGACUUGUGUUAGUGACGAAGGUACUAAUUGUUAUCGACGACGGCUCGCGUCUCUGUUCAAUCCAACGAUCGACGCGAGCUUUGUGGAAUUUGCAGCUCGUGUCUUUGAGGAUUUUAUGACGAAGCAGAUUAUUGGUAAAGGACAUGUAUUUGAUGGUCUUUAUAUUCUUGAUGCAUAGGUGCCUCGAUCUGUUGCUUGUUCCAUGUCAUCACUCCAGUUGAACCACAUUGUCGGUUGGGACAUCCGUCUUUGCCUAUUUUGAAGAAGCUAUGUCCUCAGUUCCAUGAUGUAUUUUCACUAGAUUGUGAGUCAUGUCACUUUGCAAGACAUCACCGUAGCUCGUUAGGUCCAACAAUUAAUAAACGAGCUAAGUCCGCUUUUGUGUUGGUUCAUUCCGAUGUUUGGGGACCAUGUUGUGUCUAAAACUGGAUUCAAAUAUUUUAUUAUUUUUGUGAAUGAUUCUCUCGAAUGACAUGGAUUUAUUUUAAGAAAAAUU
This is an RNA transcript of Olea europaea var. sylvestris, 1920 nucleotides long. It is a transcript of the gene named photosystem II stability/assembly factor HCF136, chloroplastic, with no coding region annotated. Lineage: Eukaryota; Viridiplantae; Streptophyta; Magnoliopsida; Lamiales; Oleaceae. The transcript is spliced from 10 exons. The record is from RefSeq and is a predicted model, not a curated record.